This 4488-nucleotide long non-coding RNA is filed under the name Canis lupus familiaris (dog). RNAcentral's name for it is "lncRNA (ENSCAFG00000058336.1)". The record is from RNAcentral. Lineage: Eukaryota; Metazoa; Chordata; Mammalia; Carnivora; Canidae.
UUUUUUUUUUUUUUUUUAGUUCUCUAAUAAAAUCAAUGUUAAUCAAAAGCGUCAUCUUAUUUUAAAUUUUCAAAAAGGCAAUUUCAGUGAUUUAAGGUAGAAACAUAGCUUUAGGGUCUCGUUUCCCAUUUCUAUUUAUAAUCAUACUUGCUUCUCAAAUUCUCUCUAAAUGGGUAUACCAAAGACAGUUUAUAAAAGAUCUGCACUGUAGCAGAUGAGCAGCAUACCCAUAUCUACAUUUCUUUGGGGUUCACUGAGGAAAUCAGAGGAAUGAAAGGACAUAGAAAUACUUCUUACUACAGCCAACUUAUUCCAUUAAUUAGUUUGAGGGUUUAUUUCCAUUAUGAUAAUCUUAUUGAAGAAUUUUUAAAAAGGGGAAGUGCUAGUAUUGUUUUAAUGAGACACUCUGUAUUAAUUAAAUACUGUGAGCAACCCUUUUUCAACCUCCAUAAUAUAAGGGUAUGUCUUAAGCAGAGAAUCCAGUAUUAAAAUUUGACAACAAAUCUGUGUUCUUAUUGUCAAGAGUCAGAAAUCAAUCAGGCUUUUGUAUGACUUAUUGCAUGCUUCAAUUUUCUAUUUUGAGAUGCUUGGAGACAUUAAGAAAUUUGUCCAAGGUCACACAGGUAGGAAAUAUUAUACCUUGAAUGGCUCACUCAAAAAUUUUUCCCAUGUCUAUGAAAACCAUAGAAAAAUGUGAAGGUCAUCUUCUCAAAUAAUGCUACGACAUUCAUUUCACCUACAAUACUAUAAUAAUAUAAUUCAUGGAGAUAAAUAACAGAUGAUUAUCAUUUCAUAUAAUAAGUGAAACUUGCAAUUAACUGAUAAAUUAAUAAUAAAUAAUUGAUAAAUAACUGAAAAAUUUAAACCCACAUGACAAAAUAUUACAACUAAGUAGAAAAAAAGUAAAUAUAAUAUUGGUUUAAUGCUAUGGUAAGUUAGAUCAAUACUUUUUCUCCCUAAGAUCAUAUAUAUAUCAUAAAUAUUUGAUAAAUUUACCUAUAAUUUAUUGAAAUUGUUUUACAGCAUAUCUCAAAAUGCUAAUUUAAUAAAUUUUGGUUUAGAAUAAUAAAAUUAUAGUACUGAGGGAAAGAUUAAGAUUCUGUUUAGUUAUUUUGUGGAUCAGAAAACUGGAACUCCCAGAGAAUCAGAGGUAUUCCCCAUAUCUGAUAGUAGUUAGGUUAAAAGAGGCCUGGGAUCCAAUUUUUUGCCUGCUGGUUCAUAUUCUUUCCUUGGUUUCUCACAAAUGCCCCAUCAUUUUUCAUUUAUCAGACAGGAAUCUGAAUGCAUUACUCAGGAUUAAUUGACUUUUUUGCGAACAAUUCCUCUGUAGCAAGCAAUGCUAUUUAACAGCAUUUUUACAGUAAAACUUCUUUCAAAAUUAGGAGUCAAUUCUCUGAAACCCUGCUGCUGCUUUAUUAACCAAGUAUAUGUAAACCCCUUGUUAUCAUUGUAACAGUCUAUACAACAUCUUUACCAGGGGUAGUUUCUAUUUCAAGAAACCUCUUUCUUUGUUCAUCCAUAAGAAGCAACUCAUCAUCUGUUAGUUUUAUCAUGAGAUGGUAGCAAUUCAGUCACAUCUUCAGCUUUCACUUCUAAUUCUAGUUCUCUUGCUGUUUCCACUUCAUCUGUAGUUACUUCCUCCACUGAACCCCUCAAAGUCAUCCAUGAGGGUUGGAAUCCACUUCUUCCAAACUCUGUUAAUGUUGAUAUUUUGAGCUCUUCCCAUGAAUCACAAAUGUUCUUAAAGGUAUCUAGAGUGGUGAAUCUUUUCCAGAAAGUUUUCAGUUUACUUUGCCCAGAUCCAUCAGAGGAAUCACUAUCUAUGGUAGCUAGAGCCUUAUGAAAUGUACUCCUUCAAUAGUACUCCUUGACCCAUGGGCUGCAGAAUGGAUGUUGUGUUUGCAGAAACAAAAAUAACAUUAAUUUCAUAGUAAAUCUUCAUCAGAGCUCUUGGGUGACUAGGAGCAGUUUUAAUGAGCAGUAAUAUUUUGAAAAGAAUCUUUUUUUCUGAGUAGUAGAUCUCAAUAGUGGACUUAAAAUAUUCAGUAAUCUAUGAUGUAAACAAAUAUGCUGUCAUCCAGGCUUUGUUGUUCCAUUUAUAGAGCAGAGGCAGAGUAGAUUUAUCAUAAUUCAAAAGGGCCAUAGGAUUCUGGAAUGGUCAAUGAAUAUUGGCUUCAACUUAAAGUCACCAGCUGUACUGGCCCCUAAUAAGAGAGUCAGCCUGUCUUUUGAAGCUUUGAGGUCAGGCAUUGACUUCUCUCUAGCUAUGAAAGUCCUAGAUAGCAUCUUCUUCCAGUAGAAGGCUAUUUUAUCUACAAUGAAAAUUAACUCUUUAGUGAAGCCUCUCUCAUUAAUUAUCCUAGCUAGAUCUUAUGGAUAACUUGCUGCAGCUUCUCCAUCAGUACUUGCUGUUUUAUCUUGCAUUUCUAUGUUACGGACUUGGCUUCUUUCCUUAAACCUCAGAAACCAAUCUCUGAUAACUUUGACAUUUUCUUCUUUGCCUCUCUCAGCCUUCAUGGAAUUGAGAAGAGUUAAGACCUUGCUCUCAAUUAGGCCUUGACUUAAGGGAAUGUUAUAGAUGUUUUGUUUUUUAAGAUUUUAUUUAUUUAUUCAUGAGAGACACACACAGAGAGAGGCAGAGACACAGGCAGAGAGAGAAGCAGGCUCCAUGCAGGGAGCCCAAUGUGGGACUUGAUCCCAGGACUUCAGGAUCACACCCUGGGCCAAAGGCAGGUGCUAAACUGCUGAGCCACCCAGGCAUCCUAUUAUAGCUGUUUUGAUCUUCAAAACAGACCAGACCACUCAAACUUGAUCUAUAUCAGCAAAAAGGCUGUUUUGCUUUCUUAUCGUUCAUGUGUUCACUUGGAGUAGCACUUUUAAUUUCCCUCCAAAGACUUUUUCUUUGCAUUCACAACUUGGCUAACUGCUACCUCAGCUUUUGACGUACCUGCCUUACUAAGUUUAAUCAUUUCUAGCUUUUGAUUUAAAGUGAGAGACAUACGACUCUUCCUUUUACUUGAACACCUUAAGGUCAUCAUAGGGUGACUAAUUGGCCUAAUUUCAAUAUUGCUGUUUUUCGGGGAAUACAGAGGAACAAGGAAAGGGAGAGAGACAGGGGAAUGGCCAGUUGGUGGAGUAGUCAGAACACAAAUAACAUUUAUUGAUAAGUUCACCGUCUUACAUAAGCAUGGUUCGUCUUACAUAAGCAUGGUUCGUGGUGCCCCCAAACAAUUACAAUAGUAACACCAAAGAUCACUGAUCACAAAUCACCAUGACAAAUAUACUAAUAAAGAUUGUUAGAAUUGUCAAAAUGUAACACAGAGACAUGAAGUGAACAAAUGCUCUUGGAAAAAUGGUGCUGAUGGACUUGGUCAAUGCAGGGUUGCCACAAACCUUCAAUUUGUAAACAACACAGUACCUAUGAAGUGCAAUAGAGCAAAGUACAAUAAUAUAAUGUAUGACUAUUGUCCAUUUUCAUAAUUUAAUUUAUGUCCAUCUUCAAAGUUCUCACAUAAGUUGUUCAGUCUAUACUGGUCUUUGAUGGUUUAUGAGAAUCUCCAGAACUUUAAAUCAAACUCAAUAUAUUAUUCAGGCAUUGCUUGCUCACCAUAAAAACGCUCUGUGCUAGACACCAAGGUUGGAAAGAUGAAGAAGACACAGCCAAGGGAACUCAGCAGAGAAUGAGAUGAGGAGAAGUGAGACAGAAGUCUCAGAGGGAUGUGGUCUGCACAGGGACGUGGUAUAGGAGAACACUGAGGAGUGUAUCUAUGCCAGCCCUGGUAACUCAGGGAAGACUCAUUGUAGGAAAUAACCCUUGAUCUGAGUUCUGAAGUAUGAAGGGGGAUUAACUAAGCCAGUGAGAUAGAUGGUGAGUGUUUUGGUGAGAGAGAAUAUCAUUAGAAAAGGCCAGAGACAUGGAAGCACAGGUGUAGUUGGGGAAGCACCGAAAUUUAGCAAGGCUAGGGUCCCGAGUGCUUAUGGGAAAGUUGUAAAGUAGGCCCUACAAGUUGUAUCUUAUUCUGGAGGCCGGUAUUUUUGCACUUCAAUAUGCACUAAAUUCACUUGCAGAGUGUUAAAGUGAAAAUUCCAGGCUUUACUUUCGUGGAGGGCUGCAGCAGGGCCAGGAAUCUGGAUUUGAAAUAAGUAUUGUAGAUAGCGGUUCUAGAGAAGAUUGCAUUUGGAAAAACACUGUUUGAGAUGGUGGCGCACUUUAAAAGGACUUUAAAUAGAAGAGUGAUCCAAUCAAAUCAGUGCUGUAGCAAAGACAGUGGGAGGAUACAUAUGACCCUGGUAGCAAAAGGACUAGUUGAUGGGUUGCACGGUGACUCUUUAGGUAAAAGUGAUAAAGUGAUCUAAGUUGGUAGCUGUGAGGGGAUCCCUGGGUGGCGCAGCGGUUUAGCGCCUGCCUUUGGCCCAGGGCGCGAUCCUGGAGACCUGGGAUUGAAUCCCACUUCGGGUUCCCGGCAUGGAGCCUGCUUCUCCCUCUGC